Molecule: long non-coding RNA, 736 nt
Organism: Chiroxiphia lanceolata (lance-tailed manakin)
Lineage: Eukaryota; Metazoa; Chordata; Aves; Passeriformes; Pipridae
Exons: 3
Source: RefSeq, a predicted model, not a curated record
GCCGUGCGCGGUCUAGCUUAGUUUCUGCAGAUUGAAAUAUUGUUAAUGCCAGAUAGUGAGCAAGUCGGUCAUGCAACACAGCAAGUUGCUUUGGAAGGAAAAACAGCUGAGCAGAGAACAGAUAAUACAUACGUCACUUCAUCUUCCUGCUGUGAAACAACAGUAACCCCACAGAGAUCUGCUAAAAAAGAAGAAAUUUUUUUCUGCAUCUGGCUAAAAACUUCCACAUGUCAAAAAAAAGUGUUUUAGGAUAAAGAAGAUUACUUUUCUGUGACAGGAGCAUCCUGGAAUCUUCUUCCUUGGUUAAUGCUUUAAGUUUUACUAUGCUGAACUAUUUUAAGUGGAGAGAAAACAACAUCUCUGUGAGGUUAAGCUUGGGUUUAGAUAUUCAAAGACAAAAUAAAAGUAAAAAUUCUGUAGCAAUCUAGGCCAUACACACUACAAUACCAUGUACCCCUGUUUGAAUAUCUAUACAAAUUCUCCUACUUCAGCAUAGCUCAGAGGAUUAAAAAAUGUAAUUUUCAACGGUCUAGCCACAUGUUGGUGUUUUAUUCAUAGACGAUUUUUAAAUUAACUGAUGCAUUGAAAGAAGGUAUUAAUUCCUUCCUGAUAUUAAAUUUCCUGAUUGCAAAGAUUGUAAAGAAAGUACUCACUUAAAAUUCUCAGAUGUAAUCAGAACCAGCUAGGUUAUAUUUUUAGACUGAUAGGAAAAUAAACUGUCUCCAUGACUCAUCAA